Molecule: long non-coding RNA, 722 nt
Filed under: Homo sapiens (human)
Lineage: Eukaryota; Metazoa; Chordata; Mammalia; Primates; Hominidae
Description: HSALNT0239451
Source: RNAcentral
GUGGGACGUGGUGGUAGCCGUUGGGUUGGGAAAGUGAGGGAUUUUUGGCCUCGUUUCUCCUGCUUCUUUUCUCCUCCCUUUUACUUUGCCGGUAGAACACAGUUAUGGGUCGCAAGAAGAAGAAGCAGCUGAAGCCGUGGUGCUGGUAUUGUAAUAGAGAUUUUGAUGAUGAGAAGAUCCUUAUUCAGCACCAAAAAGCAAAGCAUUUUAAAUGCCAUAUAUGUCACAAGAAAUUGUAUACAGGACCUGGCUUAGCUAUUCAUUGCAUGCAGGUAAGGAUUUUUCUUCUGUAUUUAUUGUCCGCUUGUGAUUUGGAAACAACUUGAAAGAAUAAUCUUUUUUAUUUUUUUGAGUUUCGGUCUUGUCGCCCAAGCUGGAGUGCAGUGGUGCAAUCUCGGCCCACUGCAACCUCUGCCUCUCGGGUUCAAGCUAUUCUUCUGCCUCAGCCUCCGGAGUAGUUGGGACUACAGGCAGCCGCCACCAUGCCCGGCUAAUUUUUUGUAUUUUUAGUAGAGACUGGGGUUUCACCAUGUUGGCCAGGCUGGUCUCGAACUCCUGACCUCAGGUGAUCCACCCACCUGGGCCUCCCAGAGUGCUGGGAUUACAGGCGUGAGCCACCGCGCCUGGCCGAAAGAAUAAUCAUUUAUUUCUCUGACAACUGUAGUUUUGUUUUUUUUUUGUUCACUUACUUACUGCAAAAGAUAAGAUAGCCAAUCAGCAUU